RNAcentral lists this ribosomal RNA (443 nucleotides) under uncultured bacterium. Its description in RNAcentral is "partial 16S ribosomal RNA". It matches the Rfam family "Bacterial small subunit ribosomal RNA", at positions 338 to 795 of the family's 1533-position model. The record is from RNAcentral.
CCUACGGGUGGCAGCAGUGGGGAAUAUUGGACAAUGGGGGGAACCCUGAUCCAGCGACGCCGCGUGAGUGAAGAAGUAUUUCGGUAUGUAAAGCUCUAUCAGCAGGGAAGAAAGAAAUGACGGUACCUGACUAAGAAGCCCCGGCUAACUACGUGCCAGCAGCCGCGGUAAUACGUAGGGGGCAAGCGUUAUCCGGAUUUACUGGGUGUAAAGGGAGCGUAGACGGCGAUGCAAGUCUGAAGUGAAAGGCGGGGGCCCAACCCCCGGACUGCUUUGGAAACUGUAUGGCUGGAGUGCAGGAGAGGUAAGUGGAAUUCCUAGUGUAGCGGUGAAAUGCGUAGAUAUUAGGAGGAACACCAGUGGCGAAGGCAGCGUGCCGUGCCGCCACUGACGCUGAGGCACGAAAGCGCGGGGAUCGAACAGGAUUAGAUACCCGAGUAGUC